GGAAAAGAAGAAAGCAGAAGAAGCUCAGCGGGACCUCCUUCGAUAACAACGUCGUUUUAGCAACAGAGGAUUAAACUGUUGAAAAACUGUUGAUGCAGUAGCGUGACAGAAACAAUGAAGGAAAUAACACGUGUUAGGAGGAGGCGAAAGAGCAUGGAGAUACCUCCUG
Megalops cyprinoides (Indo-Pacific tarpon) is the source of this 169-nucleotide long non-coding RNA. RefSeq lists it as uncharacterized. The record is from RefSeq and is a predicted model, not a curated record. The transcript is spliced from 3 exons. NCBI's taxonomy places the organism in Eukaryota, Metazoa, Chordata, Actinopteri, Elopiformes, Megalopidae.